RNAcentral lists this long non-coding RNA (388 nucleotides) under Ananas comosus (pineapple). Its description in RNAcentral is "long non-coding RNA (ACOM_LNC003216)". Lineage: Eukaryota; Viridiplantae; Streptophyta; Magnoliopsida; Poales; Bromeliaceae. The record is from RNAcentral.
AGGUAGGGUUCGAAAUUGCUAUAGUGUUUCCGAGUGUCCAAAAUUAUCUUCCGGGUGCCUGAAAUUGCCUGGAACUUUAGUUCCAGCAGUUUUCGACGUUUCGAGUCCAUUUCGCAUUAAAAAAGCUCCCGCUCAGCCGGACACUCUAUAGAUUUGUCGAUAAACUCCCUCCACUAUACUCAAACCCAGCUACUAAGCUUCAGUACAUUACAUACUUCUUGCUUUUUUUUUCCUCUUUACUUUUAAAGAUAGUAGGCAAUGGAAUGUUAUUUUCAAAUGUAUUUCUGCUUCUUUCUUCAAAAUUUUACUUUCCUUUUGCUCCACUUACCAACAUAAUAUAAGAGUGUUCUUAGGUUUUACUUCACAUAAAUCUCUUCUGCUAUAUUUU